GAGAGCCGACUUACGGAGAAAUCCGUACGAGCGGUUCGGGAAGGAGGGGUUGGAAACGGCCUCUAAGGUAUCUGAAGGGAUUAAACGCGCCAACCUCUUACUUUCAC
Molecule: non-coding RNA, 107 nt
Filed under: Salinibacter ruber
Lineage: Bacteria; Pseudomonadati; Rhodothermota; Rhodothermia; Rhodothermales; Salinibacteraceae
Source: RNAcentral